AUGAAAGCCACGUUCUUCUUGAAACCCCGCUUAGCUGCACAGGAAAAACAAAAAGCGUUGCAUCAGUAUGUAGCUAUCAUCAUUUAUAUUCUGGGCCAGAAGAGUUCGGAUCCAGCCAUUUUUUGCCUUAGGCGAUUCCUGUUUGUCAUAAUCAUGUCAACAUCUUUGAAAGUCUCAUGUUCAAAGCUCUGCACAAGGUCUACACAUGUGAAAUCAGAGAGAUGGCGGGCCCAGGCACUCCAUUAUGUCUACUUUUGUGACACUAAAUUGCUAUUGUUGGAUUUCAUUUUUUUUGUAACUUUGUUGCUGUAA
RNAcentral lists this ribosomal RNA (312 nucleotides) under Triticum aestivum (bread wheat). RNAcentral describes it as "partial small subunit ribosomal RNA". The record is from RNAcentral. Lineage: Eukaryota; Viridiplantae; Streptophyta; Magnoliopsida; Poales; Poaceae.